This 370-nucleotide ribosomal RNA is filed under the name Escherichia coli. RNAcentral's name for it is "bacterial SSU rRNA". It matches the Rfam family "Bacterial small subunit ribosomal RNA", at positions 1050 to 1420 of the family's 1533-position model. The record is from RNAcentral. Lineage: Bacteria; Pseudomonadati; Pseudomonadota; Gammaproteobacteria; Enterobacterales; Enterobacteriaceae.
UGUCGUCAGCUCGUGUUGUGAAAUGUUGGGUUAAGUCCCGCAACGAGCGCAACCCUUAUCCUUUGUUGCCAGCGGUCCGGCCGGGAACUCAAAGGAGACUGCCAGUGAUAAACUGGAGGAAGGUGGGGAUGACGUCAAGUCAUCAUGGCCCUUACGACCAGGGCUACACACGUGCUACAAUGGCGCAUACAAAGAGAAGCGACCUCGCGAGAGCAAGCGGACCUCAUAAAGUGCGUCGUAGUCCGGAUUGGAGUCUGCAACUCGACUCCAUGAAGUCGGAAUCGCUAGUAAUCGUGGAUCAGAAUGCCACGGUGAAUACGUUCCCGGGCCUUGUACACACCGCCCGUCACACCAUGGGAGUGAGUUGCAA